UAUUAUUAAAGAGCCGCGGUAUAUUGACCGUGCAAAGGUAGCAUAAUCAUUAGGGGUUUAAUUGGAACCUGGUAUGAAGGGUUGGACAAAGGAAAAACUGUCUUUCUGAUAUAAGUUGAAAUUUACUUUUAAGUGAAAAGGCUUAAAUUAAUCAAAGGGACGAUAAGACCCUAUAAAGCAUUUUGUUGGGGUGAUGUGAGUAUAAGUAUUAACUGCUUAAAAGAAAUUCUAUCAUAAAAGGGAUGAUCCUUUAUAAAGAUUAAAAGACUAAGUUACUUUAGGGGUAACAGCGUUAUUUCUUUUGAGAGUUCAUAUCGAAAAAGAAGAUUGCGACCUCGAUGUUGAAUUAAAAUGUCUAUAUAAUGCAGUCGUUAUAAGAGAGGGUCUGUUCGACCUUUAAAGUUUU
This 406-nucleotide ribosomal RNA is filed under the name Atergatis floridus. RNAcentral's name for it is "partial 16S large subunit ribosomal RNA". It matches the Rfam family "Archaeal large subunit ribosomal RNA", at positions 1995 to 2666 of the family's 2987-position model. Lineage: Eukaryota; Metazoa; Arthropoda; Malacostraca; Decapoda; Xanthidae. The record is from RNAcentral.